UGGGGAAUCUUCCGCAAUGGACGAAAGUCUGACGGAGCAACGCCGCGUGAGUGAUGACGGCCUUCGGGUUGUAAAGCUCUGUUAAUCGGGACGAAUGGUCCUUGUGCACAUAGUGCGAGGAUUUGACGGUACCGGAAUAGAAAGCCACGGCUAACUACGUGCCAGCAGCCGCGGUAAUACGUAGGUGGCAAGCGUUGCCCGGUAGUAUUGGGCGUAAAGCGAGCGCAGGCGGCUUGGUCAGUCUGUCUUAAAAGUUCGGGGCUUAACCCCGUGAUGGGAUGGAAACUGCCAAUCUAGAGGAUCGGAGAAGAAAGUGGAAUUCCUAGUGUAGCGGUGAAAUGCGUAGAUAUUAGGAAGAACACCAGUGGCGAAGGCGACGUUCUGGACGAAAACUGACGCUGAGGCGCGAAAGCCAGGGGAGCGAACGGG
RNAcentral lists this ribosomal RNA (429 nucleotides) under bacterium. Its description in RNAcentral is "partial 16S ribosomal RNA". It matches the Rfam family "Bacterial small subunit ribosomal RNA", at positions 355 to 776 of the family's 1533-position model. The record is from RNAcentral.